GACGAACGCUGGCGGCGUGCUUAACACAUGCAAGUCGAACGGAAAGGCCCUGCUUUUGUGGGGUGCUCGAGUGGCGAACGGGUGAGUAACACGUGAGUAACCUGCCCUUGACUUUGGGAUAACUUCAGGAAACUGGGGCUAAUACCGGAUAGGAGCUCCUGCUGCAUGGUGGGGGUUGGAAAGUUUCGGCGGUUGGGGAUGGACUCGCGGCUUAUCAGCUUGUUGGUGGGGUAGUGGCUUACCAAGGCUUUGACGGGUAGCCGGCCUGAGAGGGUGACCGGCCACAAUGGGACUGCGAUACGGAGCAGACUCCUACGGGGGACAGCAGUGGAGAAUAUUGCACAGUGAGCGGAAGCCUGAUGCAGCAACGCCGCGGGCGGGAUGACGGCCUUCGGGUUGUAAACCGCUUUCGCCUGUGACGAAGCGUGAAUGACGGUAAUGGGUAAAGAAGCACCGGCUAACUACGUG
RNAcentral lists this ribosomal RNA (468 nucleotides) under uncultured bacterium. RNAcentral describes it as "partial 16S ribosomal RNA". It matches the Rfam family "Bacterial small subunit ribosomal RNA", at positions 28 to 507 of the family's 1533-position model. The record is from RNAcentral.